UAACGGGGGGGCAAGCGUUGUUCGGAAUUACUGGGCGUAAAGGGUCUGUAGGUGGCCAACUAAGUCAGACGUGAAAUCCCUCAGCUUAACUGGGGAACUGCGUCUGAUACUGGAUGGCUUGAGUGUGGGAGAGGAAGUGCGGAAUUCCAGGUGUAGCGGUGAAAUGCGUAGAUAUCUGGAGGAACACCGGUGGCGAAGGCGGCAUUCUGGACCAUAACUGACACUGAGAGACGAAAGCCAGGGAGCAAACGGG
This 253-nucleotide ribosomal RNA is filed under the name uncultured bacterium. Its description in RNAcentral is "partial 16S ribosomal RNA". It matches the Rfam family "Bacterial small subunit ribosomal RNA", at positions 524 to 776 of the family's 1533-position model. The record is from RNAcentral.